Brassica oleracea var. oleracea is the source of this 559-nucleotide long non-coding RNA. RefSeq lists it as uncharacterized. NCBI's taxonomy places the organism in Eukaryota, Viridiplantae, Streptophyta, Magnoliopsida, Brassicales, Brassicaceae. The record is from RefSeq and is a predicted model, not a curated record. The transcript is spliced from 3 exons.
UUCUUCUCUGUGAAUCUGCUAUUGUAAAUGUAGGAACCGUGUCAAAAGUUUGGUGAUGGCCCAUCCCGAGGAGAAAAUAAGUGAUGCAGAACAUCAAAACUGCAAUAUCUGUAGCAUCAAGUUGACGUUAUCAAAAGCCAAUAAACUUAAAAAGAAUAACACUGACAAUCAAAUCACAGAAAAGUCAUGAAAAACUCAUGGGACUGGUGAACAGAAAUACUGAGUUAUGAACAACUCAUGUGUAUCCUGCAAGGCUUCUGACAGAAUCAAGAUUUCUGGAAACGAAAACCCAACCGCCAGUGAUUAUGAUCCGUUGCAACAUUCACGUCCAUUGGAGACAGCCAAUGCACAUGUUCAGCCUGCUUGCGACGGGAGCACUGUUGAGAGCUACUGGUUCUAGCGUUCGAGUGUUUUCUCAGAAAGGCACGCAAGACUUAAUCGAUCAAGUUAGAAAACUGAUAAUUCCUCAUACUGACCCAGUCACAGAGGAAAGUUGUAUGAUGAAAGUAACUAAUCUUUAUUACACAGGAAAGAUAUUAAUCUUCCUACUUGGAGUGAA